RNA transcript from Mustela lutreola (European mink), 7350 nucleotides. It is a transcript of the gene named syntaxin 11, with no coding region annotated. The record is from RefSeq and is a predicted model, not a curated record. Lineage: Eukaryota; Metazoa; Chordata; Mammalia; Carnivora; Mustelidae. The transcript is spliced from 7 exons.
GCAAUUCACACCUCAAAUUUAUCUUUGGGGUUAGAUUGUCUUCUCGGUCAUUUUAUUCGUGUCUAUAGUAUAGUGAUGCUCACAAGUGACUGAAAAAGGUAAUUUUUAAAAUUGCUUGAAAAGAUGGACCAUUAAGAAGCGUGUUGAAUAUAUCCUUUGUACAUGAACGCAGAAGUAUGUGUCCUUGUGAAAUACACAGCAUGGGUCCUAAGAGGCAAUACAGAACAGUGACAGAAGUUAGCCUGCCCAAAUUUCAGUCCCAUCUCCAACCCUGAUUAGCCAUGUGGCUUUGGAUGGGUUAAUCAGCUUCACCAAGUCUUUAUUUUCUCAUUUAUAAAAAGAGGAUGAUAAUAGAAGCACCUGUGAAAUGAUUUCUUGUGAGAGUGCUGUUGAUAAAGUGUUUAGAAAUUGCCUGGCAUUUGGAUGAUCAGUAGAUUAAACUAUGGCUAUCCUUUAGUGAUCCUUACAAAGUGGAUCUAUAGAUUGACUAUAAGACCAGUUUUGCUACAGAGGUAAAAGUUAUUCAUGGAAUUGAUUCUGCUGUUGGUUAUGUAUUAUAUUUGCUAUAGCAGUUGCAUUAAAGUGAGAUCGAUUUUUAAAAAAUUUUUUUAAGUGAGAUCUUUAGCAAAAGAUAAAAUUUUUAAAAAGAAGGUUUUACUUAUUUACUUAUUUAUUUGACAGAGAGAGCAGGAGCAGGGGGAAGGGGCAGAGGGAGAGAGAGCAGCAGACUCCCCUUUGAGCAGAGAGCCUGAUGUGGGGCUUGAACCCAGGAUCCUGGGAUCAUGACCUGAGCUGAAGGCAAAUGCUUAACCGACUGAGCCACCCAGGCUCACUACAGUUUAGAAAGCCAUGAAAGGUAUACCCACCAAAUUAAGAUGGCUUUGCUGGAAAAAAAGAAGAGCAAACAACCCCAAAUCUCUUUAAGUACUAGGAAUGGUCCAUUGAGGCUGUUUUUGCUGGAUUUGGUGAAUGUUGUGUGCAAAGAUCACAUUCUUGUGGUUGUGGUCAUGUUGAAGGGAAAGGAAGAAGAAAUAUUCUGAACAAAGGAAGAUUUUAAAUUCACUAGGAGGGAGAAAAAUCUCCACAGAGGGAUUUUUACAGAGGAGUCUGUAAGUUCAAGAGAAGUGGUGGGAGUCCUCAUUUCAAUGUUGAGAGAUAGAACCACACAAAAUAACAGAGGCACUUGUGUGGGGAACAAUCCUGAGCUGGCGGCUGCUCGGAUUACGGCUCCACAGCUUUCUAAUCUUCUGGGAUAAGGUCUCCCUACCUACCACCUCUCAGGAAAAUGGCCCCUGAGCCCCGAAGUCCAUGUGUCCUGUGAUGCACCUGAAGCUGAGUGAGGCUGUGGACCCUUGAAAAGAACCCUGCAAGCUCACUGAUUUUUUCCAUACAAAUAUCUUCUUUCGCUACAGAAUCUUCAUGAAGAAGCAGAAUUUCCAUCACCUGUUGUCAUCAAAUAAAUCUAAAUAUUUUCUCCUGGUUUCAUUCAUUGUUAGAAUGCAAUAUUGUGGAGAUUUCUGGUUGCCCACCUCCCCCUCAUCUAUUGUCCACUUCGUCUAAGGCAACUGAAGCACAGUGUUUGACAGGGACACGGAGCUGCCUGGAAUAAAUACCACAUUGGACAGCUUUUCUCUUAGCUACAAGCAGCAACGUGGGUAAGAUUUGGCCAGUGAAAACAUCCAUCAAGAAAACAUCCUUGAAGGACUGUGAAUGUCGAAGCAUCCUUCUUAGCAACUGGCAUGUUUCCAGCUUAGCUUCUGACUGGAGAGAGAGAGCAAGCACAAGCAGGCUGAGUGGCAGCAGAGGCAGAGGGAGAAGCAGGCUCCCCGCAGAGCGAGGAGCCCGAUGUGGGACUCGAUCCCAGGACGCUGGGACCAUGACCUGAGCCUAAGGCAGCCACUUAACCGACUGAGCCACCCAGGCAUCCCUGUCUUAGAUUUCUUGAAACACCUGGGAGCUCUCAGCGAAAGCCUCUGCUGAUUUUUAAGGCUACAUUGACAAGUCAGUAGUAUCUCUGCUACGAAAACCAUUCGGGAAGGAUGAAGAGUUGUCCUGGCAACGGACCUGCGAUGGUCAGAGAGCACCUCUGUGUGAAUGUUAACACCUUGGAGUAGGAGGAGCCCUGAACUUUGGGAAAAUCACGCAACCUCCCUCUCAUUUUUUCCCCAUUCAGGAUGCAGGGUCGGACUCGGUGGGGGGAGGCGAGUGGGGUGAGAGGUGGGAGGAUGGGUUGUGAACUGUUUUGGCAAAGCUCUGCGGCUGAUGCCCACCGGUGACCAGUGCAGUUCUGCUCUAAAAUCCCUCAGGGAUGGUUUCAGGAGGCCACAAAGUCACUACUCCACCAGGGACGCACCGGUAUGGUCCUAGGCAAUUGUGAGCUGUCGAAUACUUUUGAACAUCAUGACCACCAUGCCAAGAAGUUGCUGUGAUGGAAAAGCAGAGGAUGGAUUGAUUGAAGGAGGAAGAGUUGGACCAGUGGGGCCAAUUAGGAAGCCAUGACAGAAGUUCAGGGAGGAAGAGAGCAUUGAGGGAAGAAGGAGAGAGAGAAUCCCAGGGUGUGGAGCCUGAUAUGGGGCUUGAUCUCACCACGCUAAGAUCAUGACCUGAGCCGUAAUCAGGAAUUGGAUGUUUAACCAACUGAAUCCCCCAGACUCCCCUGAUAUUUCUUAACUGUGAUUAAGAAAUCACAUUAAAUCACAAUCAUGAUUAAGGGUGUUCACAUAAAAAGCUCUGAUGCAGGUGAUGUAGGACAGCUGUUUGUCUUAGAGCCUCUAUUAUCUAUCUUUAAAUGUUCUUAGGCUGCUCAGAAUGUGCUUCUAGUCUCCUGUAUGGAGGAUACAUUCCUGUCUGCCAUUAUUCUGGGAGUGAGACUGGGAGGGGAGGCAGUCCCCUCUGCCUGGGGAGUCAGCUUUGAAUAUGCAUACUCAAUCCUUCUGGUUCUGGGCACAGCUCCCCUGCUCUUGACUUGGUUUUCCAGUCCAGAGAUUCUGUGGUUUCUCCAAAAGUUGCUCAGCUGUGUAAGGAAGGCCAAUGACUUAAGAGAUCUAACUACUACUUCUUAUAACAAAUCCCUUUUAUCGUCUCCCUGUCACCUCUCAGUUCCUGGGCCUCAGGCUGAUGUUUCCUGGGUCUCAGGCUGAGGUUUCAGGGGAAACUAGAUUCAUCCUCAGUGCCACUGCUGCUUAAAAUGAAGCCUUUUUGAGGUCUGCAAGUCAAUUUCCACCUGACCAUGCAUGUAUAUCCUUCAAAGGCGUUGCUGUCAUUGCCAUCUUCAACUUGUGGGAACAUCUUUAAAUAAGCCUCUUUGGUGUAGUUUCAGUGGGGUUUUGGAAGGAGUAUUAGAUGAUAUUUUCAAUCUCCAUCUUUAAGUGAAUGUCACUGCAGUUAACUUUUUGACUACAUAGAGUUUGAAGUAUUUAGUUUUAUACAAACACAGUGACUUAUGAGGUUUAUGUUGUUUCUGAUAAUAUUUUAUAAAAAUCUAUGAUCCUAUCAACUGUUCUUUUUUUUAAAGAUUUUAUUUAUUUAUUUGAGAGAGAGCACGAGUACAAGCCCAAGGUUGGGGAGGAGAUAUGGGCAGAGGGAGAGGGAGAAGCAGGAAGCCUGAUGCAGGAUGUGGGCUCAAUCCCAGGACCCUGGGAUCAUGACCUGAGCCAAAGGCAGAUGCUUAAUCCAUUGAGCCGCUCAGGCAUGCUUUUUUUUUUUUUUUCCAUGCUUUUUUUCUUCUUUCUACAUGAAUGAAGAUGCAUAUUGGAAAAGGGUACAUUUGAUCCAGUGACAUGAUUUCAUUUUAGUGGCAGCCACUAGUUUGAGAUCUGUGGUGAUUAUAACUAUGCCGAAAAGCAGUUUGCCUUAGCUCUGUAAAACAAAACAGUUGUAUUUAUUAAAACAAUAUAUGGUUAAAAUUUUCUGCAUAAUACCAAUAAACUGCCCAAAUAUUUUAUCCUGUUAAUGUGAUUGGAUCUUUGGGCUCUUCCUUGUGGCCACAUGACCAAAAAUGCCCAAUAAUCAUGAAGGAGGCACUGACCAGUGCAUCUGGGGCUCCUGCUAGCUCUUUGGGAGAAGGAGGUCACUGCCCUCCAGGCAUGCAUAACAUAGGAUGGUGAAACUAUGUGGCAGUAUGACUUUUAUUUAUUUAUUUAUUUUUUAAAUUUUUAUUUAUUUAUUUGAUAGAGAGAGAUCACAAGUAGGCAGAGAGGCAGGCAGAGAGAGAGGGGGAAGCAGGCUCCCUCCUCAGCGGAGAGCCCGAUGCGGGGCUCGAUCCCAGGACCCUGAGAUCAUGACCUGAGCCAAAGGCAGAGGCUCAACCCACUGAGCCACCCAGGUGCCCCGUGGCAGUAUGUCUUUUAAAACCAGGGUAAGAAUCCCGAAGAAUUUGGUAUCCGCGUGAAAACAGAGUGUUUUCUAAAUAUAAAGAAUGGAGGGCCACUUGGUUAAUUUCAUCACUUGAUUAGGCUCAGGUUUAAGUCAUGCUGGGCAUCUCAGCACAAUACAGAAGGGCCACUACCCAGAGGAUGGAGUCCAGGGAAGGGGGACUGCGGAGAUAGGCCGGGCUGUAAAGCCGGUCCCUUUCAAAUCAUCCAACUGGAUAAUGAAAUGUUUGACCUCCAGAGGGGCACCAGGAGCAUUGACCUUCCCUAAUCAAGCCUUCCUCUCUGCAGAGUUGUACUGGAACAGGAGGAGCUCAACCGAGGUUGGAUUCUCAAUGCUAGAGGGCUGUAUCUAUCUGUAAGUGGACAUGAGGGUACAUCCGGAAGCCUGAAGCCUGGCCCUGGGUAGACAGCUGGCAGAUUUGGCUAAGGGUUAGGGCUCUUGUCAAACAGGUUAUGAUUUAGGACACGUUUCAGCUCCAAUAUGGGACACAAUCUAGGCAGUUGAAAUAUAUGCAAAUAGCUUGAAAAUCCCAAUGGUGAUCCCUACCUUAUCAGGUUAAGGCAGUGGAUGAAUUUGGGUUAGCAUGUCUAGUAUUGUCUCUACGGAAUUAGGGGUGGUUGGGCAGGAGGCGGGAAAUGUUCCUUCUGAAACUAAGUACCACACAUACAAAUCCUAUGUUCUUUCUUAUCCUCAAGCCUUCAUCUGGGUCUCCUCUUCUCCUGGUUACUUUUUACCUUAGAUUGGGCUUGGGCAGUUGCAAGUGACAGAAUCCAACACAAACUAACACUCAUUAAAACGGGGGCUUAAAAAGAGGAAACUUCACCUGUGUCUGGAAACCAGGGAUCCCUGCAUCCUUGAGACUUUCUCUGUAUUUUUUUAGCUCCUUGUUCGAUGGUUUCAUUUUCUCCUUUUGCAGGUGUAGAACUCCAGCUAGUAGCAGGGGCAGGAAAGGGGCCUGGAGGGACUAUGGGAUAGUCUCACUUUUAUGUUACUUCAGUGUACUGAUUCCAAAGAGAAAAAAGAGAAUUUUCCCUUCCAGUGUUAUUCUGGAAAUUCCUCUGGAAGGACACAUGUGGGUGUAGGAUAGAUCUCCCUUUGUCCCUCUUGAAUCAAUCACUAUGCAUGGGGUUGAGGCCUCUGGUUGACUGUUCUUGAGUCAUGAGCCUACCCCAAGGUUAGGUGGAGAGGAAAUUGACAGCUCCACAAAAUUUGAUUGGAGCAGGGGAGGAGCAAGGGGUAAUGUUCCUUUACAAAGAAGGGAAAGAUGCUGGGCAGAGGCAGGACAACAGAUGUCCUUUAGGAUUCCUAUUCAUCUGUUAAGGCUUGACUCAGGUGUCACUUCUUGAUACCCCCGUCUCUGUCCUUCUCCUAUUGGGUUACACGUCACUCUUCUAGGUCAUGUUACAUCUUGGCUGUACUGAUAUACCCAUAAGAACUUUUAAUUGUCUAGUUAUAUGUUGGUCUCUUUCACUAGAUAGUGAAAGAGUGGCUUAUUUCCAUUGGCACACCUAGCCCUUCAGCAGACAUUGGAGUUCCAGAAAGGUCUUCAAUAAAACAAUAAAUGAAGAUGAUCAUAAAAUGGCAGCGAAUCAUUUUGAGUUAAAAAAAAAAGGAGAAGGAACAUAAUAGUAAAACAAACAAACACACACACACACACAUACACGCAUGCCGGGUACUGUGAUAAAUGCUUCAUAUCAAGUAACUCAUUGAUUCUCAAAAACAUUUGAGAGACGUAUUCUUUCUAUUGUGUAGACAGGAAGCUAAAGGUUAAGUAAGUUCCACAAGCUCAUACAGCUAAUAACUGUCAAUUUAAUAACUAGCACUCAAGCAACUUAAAUCCAGCCUUAUUCGCUUUCAGCAACUCUGUCUUCUGCUCUCCUCCUCCUAUUCCUUCUGCAAGUUAACAAUGAACUUAACAUAACCUAGGGAUGCUCUCUUUACUUCUUAGUGAUUUGGACAUUUUCCCCCAAUAGAUUUUUAUUUUAUCUCAAUGCACUUCCUAGCUUGUUUUGCAUCUUUGUCAUUUGUUUCUUUAGUCACACAGUUAGAGGGUUGAAGGAGAAACUGUAACAUCCCUUCCAGUACCAAUAUCACAAAAUUAUAAGAAGUGCAUGAAACCAACUAAGGGUAACAAGUCUAACAACACAACACAGGACACUCCUUUUAGUCAGAGGCUUUUGGUUCUCAGGGGCAGCACACUGUGAAGAGGUGGGUCUGGAGGUGCCCCUGCACUCUCUCCUGGCCUCUUCCUUCUCUUUUCGGGAUUCCUUUAUUCUUUUUGUUCUACUAGUUGCUCUUUUCUCCUCAACCUCUUAGUCUUUCUGUUUUGUCCAUAGCGUCUUUGGACCCUGCAUUUCAACUCUCUUACCUUCAACAGUCCUCCCCUCCCUGCCCUACCGCCAUCAGACUUCUGCAGAGCAUUUAGUGAGAACCAGCCAGGCUCUUACCCUAGGGCAGGUUGAAUUGCCCAGAAUGCUCCCGAGGUGUUAAUGAGCUUGGCAACCUCAAGGGUGAGCCUCAACUGAACAGAACACUUGAAUUCAAAGAUAUAAGGCUAAUUGUGAGCGUUUUGAAAUUAGGAUCGAUCCAGUAGUCAAUGUUUUUCUUGUAGGAAAUUUCUCGCCUCCUCCAAUCAACCAAAGUGGCCUAUUUGAGGCCAGCUUCUUAGGGAAGAGUGGCUCUAAGAUUCCCCAACCAUCCUGAUCUAACUUCAAGAAUUGUUUGUUGAACUGCAGCUUCCUGGGCCUCACCAGACCUAGCAAACCAGGAUUUCUGGGAAUUAGUAGACAAUCUGAAUUUAAAAUAUUUUCCUUAGUGAUUCUUAAGUUCACUAAAUUGUGAGAAACUCUGCCUGCAUUCUAAUUAUUCUCUAAAAGUUUCGUGCAGUAUUAUCAUUAGCUUUCUUAAUUUUAUCACAAAGAGUUUUAUUUUAUGUAUACCUAUUUUCAACUUGCACAAUAAAUAGUAGAUAUUUCA